AUGUACGUGAACGAAUACGAAGUCCAUUUAAACUGUGGUUCGACAAGUUAUCCUAAUAAGCCAGUAACCCCGCUUCGUAGUACAAGCCACAGGUUGGGAAGCAUGUGCUGAUGCAGCUUGUUGUUACACCCACCACCCGGCUGGCAAUAUACACAGUCCAGCCCCACACUGGAAAUGGCUGGUUUUGAUUACUUAUGGCACAAGAAGUUCAAGCGAUGUCUGCCCUUCGUGGGUGUGGCAAAAAGGUGGAGGCGCGCGGCCGGAGAAACGGAAAUCGGUGGCUGUUUUCUUUGUGGGGUCCGCGCGCUUAUGCGUUAAAUGGGGGGGGGGACUUCUUUUUUCUUUCUCCAGAAACCUAAACUAGGGCACAAGCCGUGUUUGCGCUUUACCUUGUAUGCGGUUGCGGAUUGGUGAAAUUGUACCGCAGUAAGGAGUUUUUUUUGCCAAAUGGAAGAGGCGCUGCAGCCGACGACAGAGCGCGUGGCAGAGUUACCGAACUGACCGGGAGCUCAGACUGUCCUGAGUGCGCGGAAUGACUCUCUCAUUUCGCUGUGAUAAGCAGGAAGAGGAGACGGGUUUUCUUACGAUAAGGGAUAUUUGGCGUUUUUCUUCUGAUCGGUACUGCAGUGAGACUGAGUGUUGUAUGCGGUAAUCUCUGGGCCGCGGAAUGGUGACGCCCGUCAUAUUCGCCUGGGACGGAGUUAUAUGGACGCUUGAACGGACUUUUCCUUGCCCUGCCGUACAGCCAUCCUCCAGGGCCGCAGCUCACUGCCUCAGACUGUGUUAUAGUUACCUAGGAGUUGGAGCGCCUCAUCCAUCCUGCUGGAUCUGGUAAAGAUGUCCAGUGGGGAGCAGCAGCUGGUCCAUGGCCAAUCGAGCAGAGCCACCACCCCCCUCAAAAUCCCGAUGACUGUGUAUGCCAAAUAUGAGAUCUUCCGGUGGAGGGCAUGGGCUCCUGCAGAUGAGAAACAAGUAUUU
Brienomyrus brachyistius is the source of this 978-nucleotide long non-coding RNA. RefSeq lists it as uncharacterized. The record is from RefSeq and is a predicted model, not a curated record. The transcript has 3 exons. NCBI's taxonomy places the organism in Eukaryota, Metazoa, Chordata, Actinopteri, Osteoglossiformes, Mormyridae.